RNAcentral lists this long non-coding RNA (430 nucleotides) under Nicotiana benthamiana. RNAcentral describes it as "long non-coding RNA (NBEN_LNC023558)". Lineage: Eukaryota; Viridiplantae; Streptophyta; Magnoliopsida; Solanales; Solanaceae. The record is from RNAcentral.
CCCACGUCUCUUAAAUCCUCUCUGCAAACACACUAAACCCUAGCCGCCUCCACCUUAACCUACCCUAAUCCAUGGCUCCCCAGGACCAUCUAAGAGUUGUAGUAGCCUCCCAUUACUUUUACGUGCUUGUUGUAGUGGUCUUAUGACUAGAUUUUGAAGGGGCUUGGUAUAGUAUUUUGUUUAAUGACUGUUCUCCGGCCGUGUCUGACCUUUCUCCGGCCAGCUAUGGCCAUUCGAGUCAGACCUUUGACUCUCCUAUUUAGAUUGAUGGUCUUCAAGGACUUUCUCGUCAUUUGGGAUUCUUCUGAAACCAUAAUCUCUAAGAGUUUUUCGACCUCUCUCAACUUCACUUUAGAUCCAUGCUUUCUAUUUGUUCAUAAGCACUUUCUCGAGGUCUCUUUAAUUUUUGCUUUCAAAAAAGACUCUUUGC